GAGAUAUAUAUAUAUAUAUAUAUAAUAGGGAGUGAUUUAAUGCUCAGUUAAAGUAGAGCUCUUAAAUACCUACUGUCAGGGUUGGGGAAACAGGAAGAGGAACAAGUGCAGUAAAUCAAGGGGAAGCAGGUAAGGGUCCAAACAAAAAGCUUUAUUCAAAAGCUGUUGAUGAAAACAGGAAGCAAGGGGAACACAGGACAUGAAAAACGCUUAGCUUCAGACUUGGCGACAGGAACACGCAGGGAUCAUGGAAGGGAUCAGGGAAGAAAUAACGACGACCAAACGAGAGACAAAAGGGGAACAGGGACUAAAUACACAUGGGUAAUCACAAGAGGAGAGACAGCUGGAAGGGGGAGGAGAAACACAGGGGCAACAGGAGAACACAAUGACGCAAUCAGGCACAGGAGGGAAACGCAGACAGGAAGUGAAGCUAAACAUGACACAAGAGGGGAAACAUUUCAAAAUAAAACACAACACAAGGACAGACAGGAAACAAGGAUCAUGACCCCUACACACUUUAACUUCAGUCAGGUUUUUAAUGCAGGGUGUUUCCUUGCUGCAUGUCUGUUUAUAUCUCACUGAAUGUAAUCCCGGUAUGAUCACAUUCCUCUGGUAAGGCUGGUUAUGAGACUAGAGGAGGAGCUGCAGACAGGUGAGGGAGUUAAAGGUAAGGUAUGAAGUCAGACCGUCAGACUCCAUUUCACACUUGGACAGAGAGGAGGAGGACAGGACUGGAGAAGAUGAGUCGUUUCAAAGCUGAGGAAGAGGACAGAUCUCCAGUCUCCAGCUGUCUGUCUCUGAAGAGUGACCGGUCUAAAGGAUAUCCUCCAAACUUCAGGAAUGAACCUGGACCCUCAGACACAGAACAGAGAGCAGAGGCUCCAGUCUCCAGCUGUCUGUCUCUGAAGAGUGACCGGUCUAAAGGAUUACCUCUGAACUUCAGUAAUGAACCUGGACCCUCAGACACAGA
Long non-coding RNA from Eleginops maclovinus (Patagonian blennie), 970 nucleotides. RefSeq lists it as uncharacterized. The record is from RefSeq and is a predicted model, not a curated record. NCBI's taxonomy places the organism in Eukaryota, Metazoa, Chordata, Actinopteri, Perciformes, Eleginopidae. The transcript is spliced from 3 exons.